Molecule: long non-coding RNA, 640 nt
Filed under: Brassica napus (rape)
Lineage: Eukaryota; Viridiplantae; Streptophyta; Magnoliopsida; Brassicales; Brassicaceae
Description: long non-coding RNA (BNAP_LNC010623)
Source: RNAcentral
GUGGAGAGGACGACGGAGACGAUGCGGAGACGAUGCGGAGACUACGACGGGUGACGACAUGCGUCGAAAACUUUAUAAAGUUUUCAAAAUGUUUUGUUUCUAUUAUAUUAUAUAAAUGAACUAUUUUUGUCAUAUUGGACCUUGAGGUCUAGAUUAGGAAGAAAAAAAAUGGUCUAGGGCUAUCUAAGGCCAUUUCUCUAAAAAGUACAUAAACAAUAUUUAAAAAAGUAAAAAUAAACAAAGUUUAGGAAUCUAUUUUUUGGAUGGAUAUAUUUGAAAUCACACCAAAUCAGAAAUUUAUUAAGUUGAAUCCAAUAUGAGCUACUUAGGUUCCAAGUGGAGAAAGCGGAUAGAGUGUUACGGAUUUAGCGGACCAAGUGGAUCGAGCGGAACAAGAGUGGAUCAAGCAUAUUAAAGCAGAUCUAGUGGUUCAAAACAAAAGUUUGAAUGGUGAAAGUGGAUAAAAAGUGGUCCAAAAUACUGUACAAAUUAAAAUUAAUUUAUAAAAAUAUUAUAUACUAUUUAUUUUUAUAGUUAAAAAGAGUUAUUUUUAAAAAAAUUGUACAUGAACUAAUUACAUUUUUGUAAAGGUGGUGUAAAAUGAAUUUCACAAAAAGAAUUAAUAGUUAUUUAAUUAUUU